This 253-nucleotide ribosomal RNA is filed under the name uncultured bacterium. RNAcentral's name for it is "partial 16S ribosomal RNA". It matches the Rfam family "Bacterial small subunit ribosomal RNA", at positions 524 to 776 of the family's 1533-position model. The record is from RNAcentral.
UACGGGGGGGGUAAGGGUUGUUCGGAAUUACUGGGCGUAAAGGGCUCGUAGGCGGCCAACUAAGUCAUACGUGAAAUCCCUCAGCUUAACUGGGGAACUGCGUGUGAUACUGGAUGGCUUGGAUUUGGGAGAGGGAUGCGGAAUUCCAGGUGUAGCGGUGAAAUGCGUAGAUAUCUGGAGGAACACCGGUGGCGAAGGCGGCAUCCUGGACCAAUAUUGACGCUGAGGAGCGAAAGCCAGGGGAGCAAACGGG